GACGAACGCUGGCGGCGUGCCUAAUACAUGCAAGUAGAACGCUGAAGCGAGGAGCUUGCUCUUCUUGGAUGAGUUGCGAACGGGUGAGUAACGCGUAGGUAACCUGCCUUGUAGCGGGGGAUAACUAUUGGAAACGAUAGCUAAUACCGCAUAACAAUGGCUGACACAUGUCAUUUAUUUGAAAGGGGCAAUUGCUCCACUACAAGAUGGACCUGCGUUGUAUUAGCUAGUAGGUGAGGUAAUGGCUCACCUAGGCGACGAUACAUAGCCGGCCUGAGAGGGUGGUCCGCCACAAUGGGACUGAGACACGGCCCAGACCUCUACGGGAGGCAGCAGUAGGGGAACUUCGGCCAUGGGGGGAACCCUGACCGCGCAACGCCGCGUGAGUGAAGGAGGUUUUCGGAUCGUAAAGCUCUGUUGUAAGUCAAGAACGAGUGUGAGAGUGGAAAGUUCACACUGUGACGGUAGCUUAACAGAAAGCGACGGCUAACUACGUG
Molecule: ribosomal RNA, 497 nt
Filed under: uncultured bacterium
Lineage: Bacteria
Description: partial 16S ribosomal RNA
Rfam family: Bacterial small subunit ribosomal RNA
Source: RNAcentral